RNAcentral lists this ribosomal RNA (99 nucleotides) under uncultured bacterium. Its description in RNAcentral is "partial 16S ribosomal RNA". It matches the Rfam family "Bacterial small subunit ribosomal RNA", at positions 392 to 508 of the family's 1533-position model. The record is from RNAcentral.
CAACGCCGCGUGGAGGAUGAAGCCCCUUGGGGCGUAAACUCCUUUCGAUCGGGACGAUAAUGACGGUACCGAGAGAAGAAGCCCCGGCUAACUUCGUGC